UACGUAGGGCGCAAGCGUUGUCCGGAAUUAUUGGGCGUAAAGAGCUCGUAGGCGGCCUGUCGCGUCUGCUGUGAAAUCCCGGGGCUUAACCCCGGGCGUGCAGUGGAUACGGGCUGGCUGGAGGCAGGCAGGGGAGAAUGGAAUUCCCGGUGUAGCGGUGAAAUGCGCAGAUAUCGGGAGGAACACCGGUGGCGAAGGCGGCAUCCUGGACCAACACUGACGCUGAGUGAGCGAAAGCCAGGGGAGCAAACGGG
RNAcentral lists this ribosomal RNA (254 nucleotides) under uncultured bacterium. Its description in RNAcentral is "partial 16S ribosomal RNA". It matches the Rfam family "Bacterial small subunit ribosomal RNA", at positions 524 to 776 of the family's 1533-position model. The record is from RNAcentral.